GGAAGUAGUCUGUAGUCACUACCUGGAAGAAGGGAGUUUCCAUUGACUCCAAGAGGGCACUCAGCAUGUCUGAAAAAUCAAUCGUUUAUAACAAGGUUGGUGAGUUCUAUCUGGGCCAUCAGAGGCUUCCUCUACCCUUAUGGCUCUGGAGCUGCUCACAGACUGUCAGGCGAAGAUUGAAAUCUUCAGCAACAAAUGCUGCCCCCACUGCCUGCUAUGGCAUUGUUUACUGGAAACUGGCAAUGGUUCUCCCAUAUUCUGCCUGAAUAAGGAAGAGCAUCUGCAGAGAUAAAAUGAGGUAACUCUAAAAACUAAAAUAGGACUUUCACUUCUAUCAGCACCUCAUAUUUUUAAGGAGUGCUGAUUUUGGACCCAACCAUGAAUGCCAGUAGUUGUGUAUGCACUGUACAUCCUGUACUCAAGGAGCAUAUCUACUGUUGCAGCCCAACCAGAAGGGAAAUCCAGGGGGAAUUAUCCUUUGAUACAGAAAAGUCUCAUUUUACUCUCAAGCCAACUCCUGUACUUCCUCUCUUCUGUACUAGAGCCUGAUCUCGCAUCCAUGGAAUUCAGUGGCAACACACCUAUUGAAUUCAGUUGUGCUGAAUUAAAAUGUAAUGGGUCAAACAUACGUGACAUACUAUAGUUAAGGUUGUAUGAUGAUUUCCAUUUUAACCUGCUGUUUUCAGUUACUGUUUUGUUUCUGAAACUUUUAGCUUUCAAACUGACAUUUUCCUAUUUUGGGCAUCUUAGCUGCAGUGUGAUAAAUGGAUUGAAGGUGCACAUGAGCUGAGGCAAGAGUUGAGCAGGAGCCCAGGACUCUAUCCCUGCAGAACCUGUAGGUUAUGAAGAGGUUAGCGUAGGAAGCUGCGCACCUUAGAAAUUCCACAACUGGGGAAAGCCUAAACUACUUUAAGACAUCAAGAGAAGUUACAUUAUUCCACUGAGAACAUAGUGGUAUCUUUACGUCACACUUGCCAAUGUUGGAAAUUAGGGCACAUGGAGGCUGGCCAGAGGGCAGCAGGAAUUCUCAUAUUGGGGGAACAGGAUUUUAUUGUUCUGUAAUCUGAAUUUGGUUACCCGAGCCCUCUUGAGGGAACUUCUCACAGUGAGGAAAGAAUUUGGGAUAGAAAAUGCAGACAUGGCCCACCUCACUCCCACAAAGCUGAGGAACACACACCACAGCAAAACGAGCGUAUUUAGGGAAAGGAAAAAAGUCAGAUCUCAGCAGGAAGACAUGGCUACUGCUUAAACCAGAGAACUCAAUAUG
This is a long non-coding RNA of Chelonia mydas (Green sea turtle), 1267 nucleotides long. RefSeq lists it as uncharacterized. The record is from RefSeq and is a predicted model, not a curated record. The transcript has 3 exons. Lineage: Eukaryota; Metazoa; Chordata; Testudines; Cheloniidae.